RNAcentral lists this ribosomal RNA (204 nucleotides) under uncultured bacterium. RNAcentral describes it as "partial 16S ribosomal RNA". It matches the Rfam family "Bacterial small subunit ribosomal RNA", at positions 524 to 725 of the family's 1533-position model. The record is from RNAcentral.
UACGUAGGGUGCAAGCGUUAAUCGGAAUUACUGGGCGUAAAGCGUGCGCAGGCGGCUUUGCAAGACAGAUGUGAAAUCCCCGGGCUCAACCCUGGGAACUGCAUUUGUGACUGCAUGGCUGGAGUGCGGCAGAGGGGGGAUGGAAUUCCGCGUGUAGCAGUGAAAUGCGUAGAUAUGCGGAGGAACACCGAUGGCGAAGGCAAU